GGACGCCUGAGAAACGGCGUCCACAUCUACGGGUGGCAGCAGGCGCGUAAAUUGCCCAAUCUCAACAGAGAGGAGGCGGCGACAAUAAAUCCCGAUGGCUUUGGGGGCAACCCCAGGCCAAUCAGAAUAAGUACACAUUAAAUCCCUUAACCAAUAUAAUUGGAGGGCAAGUCUGGUGCCAGCAGCCGCGGUAAUUCCAGCUCCAAUAGCAUAUACUAAUGUUGUUGCAGUUAAAACGCUCGUAGCUCAAUAUCUUUUGAGCGCUUUCGGCCGUUCUCUUUAGCCUACCGUAAAAGGAUGGUUAAAGAACCGGUCGGCUCAAACACUGUAGGUCAUGGUAAAGUUAGCAAUAGCUUUAUCAUAAUCGACUGUGCAUAAACCUUGAUGCUCAAGGUAGGCCUUUUAUAGGGUAGAUACACAGUGCAUGGCAUUGUGGAACAAGGCAUCUCGCGGCUUAGUUGGUGGGCCGCGGGGGCAAUGAUUAAUAGGGAGGAGCGGGGGCCUUCAUAUUGGG
RNAcentral lists this ribosomal RNA (514 nucleotides) under Dictyostelium sp. RNAcentral describes it as "SSU rRNA". It matches the Rfam family "Eukaryotic small subunit ribosomal RNA", at positions 390 to 901 of the family's 1831-position model. The record is from RNAcentral. Lineage: Eukaryota; Evosea; Eumycetozoa; Dictyosteliales; Dictyosteliaceae.